RNAcentral lists this transfer-messenger RNA (368 nucleotides) under Candidatus Sumerlaeota bacterium. It matches the Rfam family "transfer-messenger RNA". Rfam says of the family: Bacterial tmRNA, also known as 10Sa RNA or SsrA, is named for its dual tRNA and mRNA-like properties. Its role is to liberate the mRNA from a stalled ribosome. Lineage: Bacteria; Candidatus Sumerlaeota. The record is from RNAcentral. RNAcentral also lists the same sequence under 1 other name.
GGGGGCGUAACGGUUUCGACGGGGUUCGAUGACGGAAUGGCGGCAGGCCGAGUUACGCUCUUGGCAGACUCGUAAAACGGCUAGAGCACAUCGUUUAAGUGCGAACGACAACUAUGCACUGGCUGCGUAAUUAAACGCGGCCCGUCCGCUCCGGUAGGCCGACAGACCGGAAUCCGGGCGUCGACUUAAUCGGCUGGUCCAAGAGCCUCUUCUCGUGGGCUUGAGGAUGAGACCUUUUGCGAGAUAAGCGGCGCCGCAGUUUUGUCCGGCGGCAGCGGCGCCGCCGACAAUCCUUCACCGGACUAUGCCUGUAGAUGCCAUUUCGGCAAGUUCACCGGACGCGGGUUCGACUCCCGCCGCCUCCACCA